UCGAGAGGCUUCGGCAAUGGGGGAAACCCUGACCGAGCGACGCCGCGUGAGGGAUGAAGGCCCUUGGGUUGUAAACCUCUUUUGUUCGGGAAGAAAUGCGAUCAGGUGAACAAUCUGGUCGUUUGACGGUACCGGACGAAUAAGCUCCGGCUAACUCCGUGCCAGCAGCCGCGGUAACACGGGGGGAGCAAGCGUUGUUCGGAAUCACUGGGCGUAAAGGGCGUGUAGGCGGUCCGGUAAGUGAGAUGUGAAAUCCCUCGGCUCACCCGAGGACCUGCAUCUCAAACUGCCUGACUCGAGUACGGGAGAGGAUGUGGGAAUUCCUGGUGUAGCGGUGAAAUGCGUAGAUAUCAGGAGGAACACCGGUGGCGAAAGCGCACAUCUGGCCCGAUACUGACGCUGAGGCGCGAAAGCUAGGGGAGCAAACGGG
RNAcentral lists this ribosomal RNA (430 nucleotides) under uncultured Latescibacterota bacterium. Its description in RNAcentral is "bacterial SSU rRNA". It matches the Rfam family "Bacterial small subunit ribosomal RNA", at positions 355 to 776 of the family's 1533-position model. The record is from RNAcentral. Lineage: Bacteria; Pseudomonadati; Candidatus Latescibacterota.